ACGCACGCUGGCGGCAUGCCUAACACCUGCAAGUCGCACGCGACCUUCGGGUCUAGUGGCGCACGGGUGCGUAACGCGUGGGAACCUGCCCUUAGGUUCGGAAUAACUCCCCGAAAGGGGUGCUAAUACCGGAUAAUGUCUUCGGACCAAAGAUUUAUCGCCUUUGGAUGGGCCCGCGUUGGAUUAGCUAGUUGGUAGGGUAAAAGCCUACCAAGGCGACGAUCCAUAGCUGGUCUGAGAGGAUGAUCAGCCACACUGGGACUGAGACACGGCCCAGACUCCUACGGGAGGCAGCAGUGGGGAAUAUUGGACAAUGGGCGAAAGCCUGAUCCAGCAAUGCCGCGUGAGUGAUGAAGGCCUUAGGGUUGUAAAGCUCUUUUACCCGGGAUGAUAAUGACAGUACCGGGAGAAUAAGCGCCGGCUAACUCCGUG
RNAcentral lists this ribosomal RNA (432 nucleotides) under uncultured bacterium. Its description in RNAcentral is "partial 16S ribosomal RNA". It matches the Rfam family "Bacterial small subunit ribosomal RNA", at positions 29 to 507 of the family's 1533-position model. The record is from RNAcentral.